Long non-coding RNA from Mesocricetus auratus (golden hamster), 694 nucleotides. RefSeq lists it as uncharacterized. The record is from RefSeq and is a predicted model, not a curated record. The transcript has 4 exons. NCBI's taxonomy places the organism in Eukaryota, Metazoa, Chordata, Mammalia, Rodentia, Cricetidae.
UAGAGACCAGAAAAGCAUAGCAGCUUGCCACUAGAGAAGUCUCACCUCUACCAUUGCUCAGACCAAAGGGUGAUCCACUGUACCUCAGAUUGUAUCUCCAGACUGCACUGCUCACCACCAAGUCUCAGAAUCCUCGACUGCUCUCUGAGACUGCACUGAGAUACCUAUAUUCUCUCUAGUGCUGUGAUUAAAGAUGCAGAGACCCAAAGCCAGACAUUAGAUGGAGCUUGUAGAACCUUGCUGAGGACCAGAGGAUGGAUUAUAGGAGCCAAAGGGAUCAAGGACACCAAGAAAACAUGGGGCUCACAGAGACUGAAGUGACAUUUAUGGAGCCUGCAUGGGUCUGCUAUAGGUCUUUGGCAUAUAUGUUGUGAUUGUUUAGGUUGGGGUUCUUGUGGGACUCCUAACUAUGGUACUUGGAAUGUCUUUGUCGCAUUGCCUGCUAUUGGAACCCUUUUCCUCCUACUGGAUGGCUUCAUCCAGCCUUGGUAUAAAGGUAAGGCUCAGCAUCAUAGCAGGAAGAAUAUGAUGGAGAAAUGCAAUUUUCCUAAUGCAGACAAUACUUGAAAAGCACUGCUUCCCAAACGCUGGUGACCCAUCUCCAACAACUACAGCCACCAGCAUCACCUGGGAACAAAUCCAUCAACAAAGGAAGAGCCUUCAUCCAGUAGCUGAUGGAAGCAGAAGCAGGAAC